CACACGCAGGCGGCGGCGGUGCGCGGUUUUUAAAUGCGGGGAGUUUCUCGGGUUUAUGAACUUGCGUUUCGCUCCGGUGUCAAAGGCGACUUUGGCUCAAACGGCCUGCGGAGGCUUAACCGGAAAACAAGAGGAUUA
RNAcentral lists this small RNA (138 nucleotides) under Acetobacter sp. CAG:977. RNAcentral's name for it is "rpsB sRNA". It matches the Rfam family "rpsB sRNA". Lineage: Bacteria; Pseudomonadati; Pseudomonadota; Alphaproteobacteria; Acetobacterales; Acetobacteraceae. The record is from Rfam by way of RNAcentral.